GAUGAACGCUGACAGAAUGCUUAACACAUGCAAGUCAACUUGAACUUCGGUUUGGGUGACGGACGGGUGAGUAACGCGUAAAGAACUUGCCUCACAGUUAGGGACGACAUUUGGAAACGAAUGCUAAUACCUGAUAUUAUGAUUUUAGGGCAUCCUAGAAUUAUGAAAGCUAUAUGCGCUGUGAGAGAGCUUUGCGUCCCAUUAGCUAGUUGGAGAGGUAACGGCUCACCAAGGCGAUGAUGGGUAGCCGGCCUGAGAGGGUGAACGGCCACAAGGGGACUGAGACACGGCCCUUACUCCUACGGGAGGCAGCAGUGGGGAAUAUUGGACAAUGGACCAAGAGUCUGAUCCAGCAAUUCUGUGUGCACGAUGAAGUUUUUCGGAAUGUAAAGUGCUUUCAGUUGGGAAGAAAAAAAUGACGGUACCAACAGAAGAAGUGACGGCUAAAUACGUG
This 454-nucleotide ribosomal RNA is filed under the name uncultured bacterium. Its description in RNAcentral is "partial 16S ribosomal RNA". It matches the Rfam family "Bacterial small subunit ribosomal RNA", at positions 28 to 507 of the family's 1533-position model. The record is from RNAcentral.